This 522-nucleotide ribosomal RNA is filed under the name uncultured bacterium. Its description in RNAcentral is "bacterial SSU rRNA". It matches the Rfam family "Bacterial small subunit ribosomal RNA", at positions 17 to 518 of the family's 1533-position model. The record is from RNAcentral.
UUAUGGCUCAGGAUGAACGCUGGCGGCGUGCUUAACACAUGCAAGUCGAACGAAGCACCUCUAAUCGAAGAUUGAGAAAGCUGCUUUGAUUGAUCACCUUGAGGUGACUGAGUGGCGGACGGGUGAGUAACGCGUGGGUAACCUACCCUAUACAGGGGGAUAACAGUUGGAAACGACUGCUAAUACCGCAUAAGCGCACAGGACCGCAUGGUCUAGUGUAGAAAAACUCCGGUGGUAUAGGAUGGACCCGCGUCUGAUUAGCUAGUUGGUGAGGUAACGGCUCACCAAGGCGACGAUCAGUAGCCGACCUGAGAGGGUGACCGGCCACAUUGGGACUGAGACACGGCCCAAACUCCUACGGGAGGCAGCAGGUGGGGAAUAUUGCACAAUGGGCGAAAGCCUGAAUGCAGCGACGCCGCGUGAACGAAGAAGUUAUUUCGGUAUAGUAAAGUUCUAUCAGCAGGGAAGAAAAAUGACGGUACCUGACUAAGAAGCUCCGGCUAAAUACGUGCCAGCCGCGGC